RNAcentral lists this ribosomal RNA (451 nucleotides) under Oligella urethralis. RNAcentral's name for it is "bacterial SSU rRNA". It matches the Rfam family "Bacterial small subunit ribosomal RNA", at positions 60 to 500 of the family's 1533-position model. Lineage: Bacteria; Pseudomonadati; Pseudomonadota; Betaproteobacteria; Burkholderiales; Alcaligenaceae. The record is from RNAcentral.
AGUCGAACGGCAGCAUGAGAGAGCUUGCUCUCUUGAUGGCGAGUGGCGGACGGGUGAGUAAUGUAUCGGAACGUGCCCGGYAGUGGGGGAUAACUACGCGAAAGCGUAGCUAAUACCGCAUAUUCUCUACGGAGGAAAGAGGGGGAUCGUAAGACCUCUUGCUACCGGAGCGGCCGAUAUCAGAUUAGCUGGUUGGUGGGGUAACGGCCUACCAAGGCGGUGAUCUGUAGCUGGUUUGAGAGGACGACCAGCCACACUGGGACUGAGACACGGCCCAGACUCCUACGGGAGGCAGCAGUGGGGAAUUUUCGACAAUGGGGGGAACCCUGAUCGAGCCAUCUCGCGUGUGGGACGAAGGCCUUCGGGUUGUAAACCACUUUUCUCAACGAAGAAAAGUCUUAGGCUAAUACCUUAAGAUGCUGACGGUAGUUGAGGAAUAAGCACCGGCUAA